This is a long non-coding RNA of Tachysurus fulvidraco (yellow catfish), 3740 nucleotides long. RefSeq lists it as uncharacterized. The record is from RefSeq and is a predicted model, not a curated record. The transcript has 5 exons. Lineage: Eukaryota; Metazoa; Chordata; Actinopteri; Siluriformes; Bagridae.
CUCUCUCUCUCUCUCUCUCUCUCUGGUUCUCUUUCCUAUGCUCCCUUCAUUUCUUCCUCACACUCCUCUCUUUAAGACAUGGGGGAGAUUGCUGGAGCUAAGCUGAAAAAGCACGGCAGUGAAGAAGGGAAAGGGAAGGAAAAAGGAGACGAAAAAAAAAAACCUUUCGGCUGCUUUUUCUGCUGCAAGGGCCUCCCCACCAGCGGGCCUAGCCAGAAAGGGAGGGCUUCUGCUCUCCUAAUAGGAUUUAACCCUCUGUCUACAGCCGCUGCACUGCAGCCGAACCAAAACCUGCCAACAAGUCACACUCUCCAGCGCAGAGCUUGAGGUCUCAUGCACCAGUUUUCGACACUGGAGAUUAUUUUUUUGUUUCGGUUUGGUUUCGAUUCCUUCGUUUUAAGUCUCGCGAUGAAUAUCAUUUGUAGCUUUUUUUUUUUUCUUUCCUUUUUUUUGAGCAAGCUUUGGAACGUGGGAUCUCUUUGGACAUAGAGGUCUAUACAGUAGUUCUGACAGGGCUAGUGGUGUACGGGAGCUGUGUCUGGGAGAGAUGCCAAUCGCUCACAAAAGACUGAACCCAAAGAGAGAAAAAAAACCAUUCGGGCCACCGGACCAAAAGCAGAGCACAGAUUUUAUAUGUUUUAUUUAUUUUUUUGUUGACGUGUUACACAGACACGUGAGAGGGAGCGUGGAGGGGAACGUGGCUCCGCUUUCUGUGGCGGAUUCUUCAUGCAUCUCUCGCAGAAUUAAAAACCCUCUCUGGAACACAUGCUUAGAGGGAGCACUGUACUUCCAAGAAGCUGGUCGUGCUGAUGGUUCAGAAGCCCAAGAGGCAAGAGAGAAAGGCACAUCUGAGAAACGCCAAGAGGGGAGGGAAAGGAGGAAAGAAGAAAAACGGAAGGAGGAGGAGGGGAGGACCUUUUCCAGCCUGUUAAAUGUUCCCCAGGCCCAGCCAGGGCGAAGGCAGGCACUGCAUGCUGAUUUGCAUUCAGCGGACAUGCUAAUUGUGUGUUUUGUAACAUACUCCAUUCAUUCGGACGAGGCUCUAGUCUACAGACGGGCUUCAUACACGCCUCCCAGACACCCGCGUGGCCUCCUAUUGUUGCUGAGGCCGCUUUAACCGAGCCGAACAGCUCCAGGCCCGGGCCAAGGCACGAUGCAGAGCACGGGGGAAGCCUGGAUCUCUAGGCUGCUGUGGAGAGAGGACAGAACGGGGAAACUGUUAGCUAGAGCUCGCUUCUCAGAUCCGGAGUUCCUCUAUCAUCUCUUUCUCCCUCCACAACGAAGAAGAUAUUGCAGGGAAAAAAGAAACCUCACUGAGAAGGAAAAGAGGCCUGUAGGAAUUCGAACCCGAGUAUCCGAAACACUUUUAGAGGUUUGAGGGUUAGAUUUCUGUGUGUGUGAAGCUCGAUCCUGUCCUACACACACACGAGGCUUUCUGCUCAGAUGGAGGCGAGCAAUGUUGAGGCACACUGGAGGGAUGCACCAACAGACAACCUGGAACCUUCCUAGAGGACGAUGAUUUGCUUGAUCCAGGGAGACACAGGCGGCGAGGAAGAGAACGGAUUCAGAGGUGUAUUGCAACACAGUGCUGGUGUCCUCAUGUUCAGCACCCCAGGGAAAUUGGCGAAGGUUCUGCUUCACUUUAAGUCAGGAGUAGCUUGAGCACAGGCAGUGAGCCAAAGGAUUUCAACCCAUCAUGUGCUGAAUAGAACAGGGCCAGGAACAAACCCUAGCCCCCUGAGUCCUGUACUCCACCCAGGAUAUGGAGAACAAACAUGUCGACCCCAUUGUCCAUGUACUCAUCCAGCCCAAAGCAUUCAACAACUUUUUAGUUAUUUAAUGACAUGAAAAAUAUACACACAUAGAUUGGAUUCAAGGCUUGUAUGAUGAUUUAAAGUGGGGAGACAAAAGCUUUCUGUAGACAUAUUUCAGCUGCGCCAUCUGUUGGUACGUACUGACACCAUGCUCGUACUCCACAUUCAAAAAGUCUCAAAUCCAACCUAUUUAUUUCAUUUCACAAUUAGCAUGGGUUUUAUUUCUGAGCCUGGUUCAUCUCAAUGUUUCUUAAUUAUAGCAUCUUGGGGACUUUUUCCUUUGCCGCUCCCUACACUGGCUUGCUCAUUAGGAAUUCUGACAUGGAUUUUGGUCUAGAGAAAGACUUCUGUCUCAUAUAAAAUAUGUAGGAGGAUUGAAAUAGAAAAAAAACAAAGCAUAACUAUGAAGAGAAGGAAAAUACCCAAAGCGAGCUGUUGUUUUAUUAUUAGGUUGCAUGACAGUAUGAAGAUGUUUUACAGUAUGAAACAUUAGAUUUGUGCCUUAACACACCAAACAUUAAACUAAAGAAAAUUCUACAUACAUAUAUAUUUUUAUAAAGCUGGAUUAUAACUUUGCAUUUUUUCCUACACAUACAUUUCUUAAAGUGUCUGUAAUUUUAAAGACUAUAUUGACACAUAAAUAAAUUGCCAAUUAAAAGAAGCAGACCGAAACCAGUUCACAGAAGCCCAACAAGCGCAUCCAUAUGCAUUUAGUUAUAGUUAUAGUUAUAGUUAUAUAUAAUGUUGCAGUAAGAUAAUAUUUUGAUAUACAGUAAUAUACACUAUACAUCUAUUAGUUCAAUGCAUUUUGUUUAUAACCACAAAUCCAGGAAUAUAAAAAAAUAUACAUAGGAUAAAAGCUGAAAAAAAAAAUCUUAUGUGUGUGUAUAUGUGUGUGUAUGUGUGUACGUAUGUGUGUGUGUGUGUGUGUGUGUGUGUGUGUGUGUGUGUGUGUGUGUGUGUGUGUGUGUGUGUGUGUGUGAGGUGGAUUUGCCAUAUGGGAUUUGAUAGGGAUGACAUAUUAGGGCCACAGGAAUCUGGGGCAUUCAAGCAUUCAAAGCCACAGUCUCACCUAAACUGGACAGUUUAAGAUUAGAAACAAAAACCACUUGGUCUUUUUCCAAUCUGUUCCAACUGGAUUUUUUGGCAUCCAUCUCAACAUUUGAUGUUUUGUGCAUACUGAUAUGUUUUUCUGCUCCCUACUGUUGUAAAAAGUGAUUGUUUGAUUUACAAUAUCUUUCCUGUAUUGAACCAUUUUCCUGUCAACUCUUUUGUUUCCACCCAGAGAGCUGUUUCUCAGUCAGUGGUUUGCUUCACCAUUCAGUAUAAACUCUAGAAACAUUUGUGUAUGAAAUUCCCUAGAAACCAGCAAUCUAUGAAAUAGUCAGUCCAGCCCAUCUGGUGCCAACAUCAAUGCCACAAUCCAAGUCACAGAGAUCGCACUUUUCCCCCUAUUCUUAUAUUUAAUGUGACCAUUAGCUGUCACUCUACACUUGUAUCAGCAUGGUUCUAUUUAUCUAUUUAUCUUUGUGAUGCUGCCACACGAUUAGCUCCAUAAAUAACCACAUGAAUGUGCAGAUGUAUACAACAUGUCUGUAUAUCAUGUUAAUGCCAGAAUUAACGUUGCUUCAUACAGAGAAGCCUACAAACAUGGUCCGAAGGCUACAACAGUCAUCACAAACUCUGUCACGUUCACUUUUACCUUCCUGCUGAUCUCACGCUAAAUGUUACCUACUUCCUGUAACCUGACUUUGAUUAUGCCUCAUAAAUCACAUUUAAAUAACAGGGAUUAAGUCAUUGAUAUCUGAUGGCAAUUUACUACAGCAAAACAUGUUGUAGAAUAUAUUCAGUUUUAAAAAAUAAAAAAUCUGUAACCAAAAUAUUCUAAAAGAAAACAAAAUCCAAUAUGAACAGAUGGAGAAGAAA